Molecule: ribosomal RNA, 1371 nt
Filed under: Weissella koreensis
Lineage: Bacteria; Bacillati; Bacillota; Bacilli; Lactobacillales; Lactobacillaceae
Description: bacterial SSU rRNA
Rfam family: Bacterial small subunit ribosomal RNA
Source: RNAcentral
CAUUGCAAUGAGUGGCGAACGGGUGAGUAACACGUGGGAAACCUACCUCUUAGCAGGGGAUAACAUUUGGAAACAAAUGCUAAUACCGUAUAAUAAUUAAAACCGCAUGGUUUUAGUUUAAAAGAUGGUCUUGCUAUCACUAAGAGAUGGUCCCGCGGUGUAUUAGUUAGUUGGUGAGGUAAUGGCUCACCAAGACAAUGAUACAUAGCCGAGUUGAGAGACUGACCGGCCACAAUGGGACUGAGACACGGCCCAUACUCCUACGGGAGGCAGCAGUAGGGAAUCUUCCACAAUGGACGAAAGUCUGAUGGAGCAACGCCGCGUGUGUGAUGAAGGGUUUCGGCUCGUAAAACACUGUUGUAAGAGAAGAAUGACAUUGAGAGUAACUGUUCAAUGUGUGACGGUAUCUUACCAGAAAGGAACGGCUAAAUACGUGCCAGCAGCCGCGGUAAUACGUAUGUUCCAAGCGUUAUCCGGAUUUAUUGGGCGUAAAGCGAGCGCAGACGGUUAUUUAAGUCUGAAGUGAAAGCCCUCGGCUCAACCGAGGAAUUGCUUUGGAAACUGGAUAACUUGAGUGCAGUAGAGGAAAGUGGAACUCCAUGUGUAGCGGUGAAAUGCGUAGAUAUAUGGAAGAACACCAGUGGCGAAGGCGGCUUUCUGGACUGUAACUGACGUUGAGGCUCGAAAGUGUGGGUAGCAAACAGGAUUAGAUACCCUGGUAGUCCACACUGUAAACGAUGAGUGCUAGUUGUUCGAGGGUUUCCGCCCUUGAGUGACGAAGCUAACGCAUUAAGCACUCCGCCUGGGGAGUACGACCGCAAGGUUGAAACUCAAAGGAAUUGACGGGGACCCGCACAAGCGGUGGAGCAUGUGGUUUAAUUCGAAGCAACGCGAAGAACCUUACCAGGUCUUGACAUCCUUUGACCACUCCAGAGAUGGAGCUUUCCCUUCGGGGACAAAGUGACAGGUGGUGCAUGGUUGUCGUCAGCUCGUGUCGUGAGAUGUUGGGUUAAAGUCCCGCAACGAGCGCAACCCUUAUUGUUAGUUGCCAGCAUUUAGUUGGGCACUCUAGCAAGACUGCCGGUGACAAACCGGAGGAAGGCGGGGAUGACGUCAAAUCAUCAUGCCCCUUAUGACCUGGGCUACACACGUGCUACAAUGGCAAGUACAACGAGUCGCCAACCCGCGAGGGUGCGCAAAUCUCUUAAAGCUUGUCUCAGUUCGGACUGUAGGCUGCAACUCGCCUACACGAAGUCGGAAUCGCUAGUAAUCGCGGAUCAGCACGCCGCGGUGAAUACGUUCCCGGGUCUUGUACACACCGCCCGUCACACCAUGAGAGUUUGUAACACCCAAAGUCGGUGAGGUAACCUU